UGUCGUCGCCGGGAGCGGGGGCUUAGGCCAGAAACGGCAUCAGAGGAGGGUCCGGGGUGGUCUUUGUCUUCAGUUACUCCAUAUUCUUCCACAGUCAGGCCGUCCUGAAGCAGAGGUGUUACGUGGGGUUUGUACAAGGUUAAUACGGGUGCAUCCCUGCUGAAGGCCUUUAGUAAAAAUGAAACGGCAGAAUUUAUUGCUCACUCUUGCCAUCGGUGUGUAUAGCUUCUUGGUCCUGCAAAUACAAAUUCCUUCUGCCUGCUACCAACGUUUUUACAGCUUGUAAGGUUGCCAGAUCCUGCAAACAGAAUCCGUUCGUACUUGGUGAUACAAAAGGGAGAUUGUCCUUCCAUUUCACUACAGUUUUCUUUAAAAUCCUCAUUCUAUUUUCAGUGGUAAAACUGGAAAUGAAAAGUCUGUUCAUGCUUCAUCAUAAUGAAGCUCACUGAUGCUGAAUGAGAACCCCAGAGACGGUGUGACUGGCUCAGGAAGCCCAGAACAGCCAGUGCCUGGAGCUGGGAGAGUGUCCAGGGAAAUGCUCUGAAGAGCCAUGAUAGGAUUUCCCCAUUCUCACAGACUUCCCUUGGCAUCUUUUACCAGCCAUGUCAGAGACUGGUUCCUGAAUGAAAACAUUUGGCCAGAUUGAGAAGGCUGUUCUUAGGAUCAAGAUGUUUGUGCAGAUUACUAAACUAGUACUCUCGCUUUCAAUGGAUGCCUUUCCUCCCUUUUCACUGGACUUAGCAGCUCCAUAACAACAUGUUACCACUGUGCCAGUCCGUAGUUACAAAUCUACACUGGAUAUCAAAAUGUUGGCACUCUAGGUUCCUAGUCUCUGUGCUCUGUGAGGGGAAAAAACCAGAAUGCUAAAAAGAAAAAAAAAGGAAGAGGAAUGUCCAGAAAGAAGAAGUACCAGCACAGUCCAACUACACCGCAGUACUAGAAAACCACUGUACUUCCAACUAUAGCUACGAUGAAAGCACGUCUCUACUAGCACAGUAAGAAAGUAUAAAAGAUUAAGAAGCAGCUCCUUGGCACAUCUGCUUAGUGCAGCUCACUUCUUUUACAUCCCAUGGUAAUUUAUAUUGCAUCUUAAAUUAACCCAGCACUAAUGCUCUCAUUUGUUUUUUAUACAUUUCAGAUGAUAUAUCUCAGCUGUGUCCCACGGUUAUAUCCACAGAUAUAACCAUAUACACCACUCUGGAGAUGUAUCUCAUGCCAGUAAACAGAGUUGCUUGAUCAAUUGCUGAGAAUUUCUCCUCAAACAAUGUAAGCUUUACUGACAAGCGGAUUCUUCCGUCAUUAUAAAUUGCCUCUCUGCAUGGCUGUAAAGCCGGACUGUGUUUUUUUCCCCACUUUAGAACAGUACUGCUUUGCCAACAUCACUUUAGUGUAGGUUUGUUCUUCAUGCAGGGGAGAGAGGUAAGCCACUGGCAACAGAAGCUUUAUGAACUGUGCUGUGCUAGCCAGCAGGCAGGCUGCAAAUCUGGGUCUUUAGCAUCUGAGUUAGUAAAAGAGAGAGCUCUACUCUGCUUCAUAAAAUAUAUAUGCUAAUCUCCCAGAUGGCUGUAUCUUCUUUCUCCAUAGAACAGAUGACCUGGAAAAUAAAAGAAGACUGAAAACACUGGAGAGUGGAAAAUCUGGGCCAAAAUCUGGGAGCUUCCAGUAGAUUUUACAGACAGACUUGGCUUUUAAAUUUAGUUUGAAUUUGUUUUGAUAAUAAAAUAUAGCAAUGAUUACAUGACUAUUAUUACAGGUCACAGUGUAAUUUCACAUGUAACGCAAAGCAUUCAUACAUUUAUCAGCAUCCCUAUAAGAAAAAUAAAACAAAGGAUGACUUUCAAACGAGAU
Long non-coding RNA from Harpia harpyja (harpy eagle), 1848 nucleotides. RefSeq lists it as uncharacterized. The transcript has 3 exons. The record is from RefSeq and is a predicted model, not a curated record. NCBI's taxonomy places the organism in Eukaryota, Metazoa, Chordata, Aves, Accipitriformes, Accipitridae.